CUUUAGUGGAGCCAUGUUUAAAAGCUGGUAAGUCCUACUUUAACAUUCAUAAGCUGUUGUUUACCGUGCUUGAUACGAUUUGCAGAGCAUAGCAUGUUUACUGUCAUCACUGAAAACAGUGCUGUUUUCAACACUUUUUGGACUGCUAAUGAUUUCAUGCUAAUGCCAACUGAGCUGCCAACCUAGGCUGUGCUUUGAGGCAUCAUAAGCACAUUCCCGACACCAGGAACUGACUUCCCAAAGACAUUUCAUG
This 253-nucleotide long non-coding RNA is filed under the name Sinocyclocheilus anshuiensis. Its description in RNAcentral is "lncRNA (ENSSANG00000028979.1)". Lineage: Eukaryota; Metazoa; Chordata; Actinopteri; Cypriniformes; Cyprinidae. The record is from RNAcentral.